Molecule: ribosomal RNA, 253 nt
Filed under: uncultured bacterium
Lineage: Bacteria
Description: partial 16S ribosomal RNA
Rfam family: Bacterial small subunit ribosomal RNA
Source: RNAcentral
GGCGAACCGUGCGAACGUUGUUCGGAAUCACUGGGCUUAAAGGGCGCGUAGGCGGGUGUGCAAGUCUGCGGUGAAAGCCUCCAGCUUAACUGGAGAAGUGCCGUGGAUACUGCUCAUCUUGAGGAGGGUAGGGGCAUCUGGAACGGUCGGUGGAGCGGUGAAAUGCGUUGAUAUCGACCGGAACUCCGGUGGCGAAGGCGAGGUGCUGGACCCUUUCUGACGCUGAGGCGCGAAAGCCAGGGGAGCAAACGGG